This 253-nucleotide ribosomal RNA is filed under the name uncultured bacterium. Its description in RNAcentral is "partial 16S ribosomal RNA". It matches the Rfam family "Bacterial small subunit ribosomal RNA", at positions 524 to 776 of the family's 1533-position model. The record is from RNAcentral.
UACGUAGGGGGCGAGCGUUGUCCGGAUUUAUUGGGCGUAAAGCGCGCGCAGGUGGUUCCUUAAGUCUGAUGUGAAAGCCCACGGCUCAACCGUGGAGGGUCAUUGGAAACUGGGGAACUUGAGUGCAGGAGAGAAGAGUGGAAUUCCACGUGUAGCGGUGAAAUGCGUAGAGAUCCGGAAGAACACCGGUGGCGAAGGCGGUCUGCUGGGGUAAUGCUGACACUGAUGCGCGACAGCGUGGGGAGCAAACAGG